CACACCAUAAAUUGCCACUGCUGCCACCACCACCAAAUCAAAACCAUCACCAUCAUCAUCAAAUCCAGCUUUUCUAUUGUGGAAAAUUACAGCAAUUCCCGCGACGACCUAAUCUAAGAAAAAACAUCGGCCAUCAAUCCGUCAGAAUUUCUUCCCUAGCAGACGGGCUCAAUCCACAUACACAUCCCACACAAAAAGAUCAAGAUGGAAUUGAAAAGCCAAAUGAGUCACACGCAUGGUCACGCCUCACUGUCGGUAGUCUUGCC
This 266-nucleotide long non-coding RNA is filed under the name Olea europaea (common olive). RNAcentral's name for it is "long non-coding RNA (OEUR_LNC003752)". The record is from RNAcentral. Lineage: Eukaryota; Viridiplantae; Streptophyta; Magnoliopsida; Lamiales; Oleaceae.